Molecule: long non-coding RNA, 1052 nt
Organism: Musa acuminata AAA Group (dessert banana)
Lineage: Eukaryota; Viridiplantae; Streptophyta; Magnoliopsida; Zingiberales; Musaceae
Exons: 2
Source: RefSeq, a predicted model, not a curated record
CGACUCGACAAACCUCAUGAAGCUCACACUUUUCCGGCAAUUCUACAUCAUUGUGAUCGGAUAUUUGUAAUUCACGAGGAUCGUCGUCUAUGCAUCGGGGACAAUCACAUCUUACAAGUACCGGUGCGUGAGCGUCGCAGCUGAGGAAACCGUGAGCCUUUUGUUCUACAUUUUCAUGUUCUAUAUGUUUCGCCCGGUGGAGAGGAACCAGUACUUUAUGCUUGAUGAAGAAGAGGAAGAAGCUGCAGAAUUGGCGCUCCGUGAGGAAGAGUUCGAGCUUUGAUUGACAGUAGGAAGGAGAAACACUUGUGUGGGAACUUCCUGGUGUGAUCUUCACGCUGAUUUCAUCGAGUAUUCUUGCUAUAGGAUAAAAGAAGGUUAUGAGGUGAGUCGCACACCCUCAUUCAGUGCAGCUCCCACCCAAAUUUAAUGGCUAGCACUUACGCCUUCCAGCAGUCAGUGUCCGGCAAAAAGGAGCAGCCAGCCAGCAAACACUUUCCGUCACUGGAUCUCAUCAAGAAUCCCGCCCCUUGUGCAUUAUCCUGCAGAUUAGAUCUCUGCAAAUCACUGGAUUAGUGUAUAGAGAUUUGACGCUGCAAAUCGCUUGAACAGGUUCAAGUUAUUAAUUUAGAUCUCUGUUUUACUGGAUCCAUGUUGGUGUAAAAGGUUAUGCUUUGAUGCUUUCGAAGAAAAGAGGUUGAUAGGAAUAGCAGAAGCUGCAGUCUCUUGCCAAACUCACUCGUUUAUGUAGGUUUUCUGAUUCGUCGAUUGGAUUAAUUUGAUGAGAAAAAUGGUUUGUGCAUUGUGGAUGAUCUGGCUUUGAAAAAAGUACUGCUUGGAGAUUAUGGUAGUGAUGGAUGGUACAAACUUUGCUUUGAUUUAUGCCAUCUAUGUUACAGCAAAAAUAGAUCUGUUUUUGAGAAGUACUGGUUGGAGAUUGUGGUAGUAAAGAAUGGUAAAAGUUUUGCAUAGAUUCAUGACUUGUGUGUUACUGCAACAGGCAGCAAAUUGUGCCUUUUUUUGAUUGAUUAAUGAGAAACAAUUCAAGCUUC